GUGCUCGCUUCGGCAGCACAUAUACUAAAAUUGGAACGAUACAGAGAAGAUUAUCAUGGCCAAAGAAAAAAAAAAAAAAGAAAGUUCCUUCAGUGUA
Small nuclear RNA from Myotis lucifugus (little brown bat), 97 nucleotides. The record is from Ensembl. Lineage: Eukaryota; Metazoa; Chordata; Mammalia; Chiroptera; Vespertilionidae.